GACGAACGCUGGCGGCAUGCCUAAUACAUGCAAGUUGAACGAUGAUAUUCUCUGCUUGCAGAGAAUUGAAGAGUAGCGAACGGGUGAGUAACACGUGGGGAACCUGCCCAUGAGAGGGGGAUAACAUUCGGAAACGGAUGCUAAUACCGCAUAAUGCUUUGGACCGCCUGGUCCAGAGACGAAAGACGGCUUUUGCUGUCACUCAUGGAUGGCCCCGCGCCGUAUUAGCUAGUUGGUGAGGGAAUGGCUCACCAAAGCUGUGAUACGUAGCCGACCUGAGAGGGUGAUCGGCCACACUGGGACUGAGACACGGCCCAGACUCCUACGGGAGGCAGCAGUAGGGAAUCUUCCACAAUGGGCGAAAGCCUGAUGGAGCAAUGCCGCGUGAAUGAAGAAGGUCUUCGGAUCGUAAAGUUCUGUUAUUAGAGAAGAACAAGUCAAGGAGUAACUGUCUUGACUUUGACGGUACCUAACCAGAAAGUCACGGCUAACUACGUG
This 498-nucleotide ribosomal RNA is filed under the name uncultured bacterium. RNAcentral describes it as "partial 16S ribosomal RNA". It matches the Rfam family "Bacterial small subunit ribosomal RNA", at positions 28 to 507 of the family's 1533-position model. The record is from RNAcentral.